Molecule: long non-coding RNA, 303 nt
Filed under: Solanum tuberosum (potato)
Lineage: Eukaryota; Viridiplantae; Streptophyta; Magnoliopsida; Solanales; Solanaceae
Description: long non-coding RNA (STUB_LNC011541)
Source: RNAcentral
UCAACUUCUUGAAUUAUAUCAGAUUGGUCUACCACCCACCUCCCAUCAGAUAUCUGGAAACCUUUUAUCAUAUUUCUAUUUCUUCUUUGCAAGGUUGCCAUGUGAAAAUAUGAAGUAUUUUUAUCCCCUUCACGCAACCAUAAAGCUCUAGACUUAUGUUUCCAAAAGGUUUCUUCAUCGUUAUAGGCUUUGCUUAGUUCCCUUUUCAGUAACCUUAAUUUACUCCAGUCAAAAUUACUAGCGUUAUUCCUAAGGGCUGUAAUCUUUCCCUUAAUACUAAUAAUUAUCUUUCUUGCAUUACCA